Molecule: long non-coding RNA, 796 nt
Organism: Sander lucioperca (pikeperch)
Lineage: Eukaryota; Metazoa; Chordata; Actinopteri; Perciformes; Percidae
Exons: 3
Source: RefSeq, a predicted model, not a curated record
CACCAGUUUAAAUCCUCUUUUUAAACGUGUCUGUUCCCUACGCGUUCACCACGGACUGUCGGCGUCACCCUGCGACUGUUUACCCGCCCCAAAUAUCACGGAACGACUUUUUAAAGACGCUAUUUAACAAGCUAACUUAGCGUGCUAGCGAUGCUAACGGCUAGCCUCCCGUUAGCUGUGUUUGUAAGUUAUCAAGCGGAUGGCGGAGAAGUUGUUUAAAUGUUGUUUUUUUGCUGACUUUAAACGCUUGAAAACACGGAGAAGUUGAGUGUGGUGUUGUCGCUGGUUUAUAAGUGUGUGUUUUUAGACGUUGCAGCAGGUUUAAGGGUGUUUUUCUUAUGUUUCUUUGUGUUGUUUAAAUGUUAGGUGCACCUGUUGCGAGGUGGACCUGCUAAACAACAGAUUUAAGAUAUCAGAGUGUGACGUCAGACAACAUGAACGCGCAGAGCAGAUAUUUUUAUUUUUUAUUUAUUUAGUUUCCACAUAUCUUAGUUUCGGCCCCCCCUCCCAGCCUCUCUGCAGUUGUUUGAGUUUCACUUCCUGGUUUCUCAGAGUGAUCAGAACCACAGACUGACUGAGAGAGAGAGAGACGGCCAUGUUUGAAAAUGUCCCAGCAGUGUCGUCAGCGGAGCGCCAGCAGGUACUGGGAGCUCUGGAGCGCCUGCAGGCCAAACUGGUCCAGAGGGAGGAGUGGACUCACGGGGAAACCAUGGGCAACCUGAGGCAGACCCUGCAGAGCCCGCUCUUCAACCACAUCCUGACCCUGCAGCACUCCAUCAAACAGCUCCGAAACCAG